This 484-nucleotide ribosomal RNA is filed under the name uncultured bacterium. RNAcentral's name for it is "partial 16S ribosomal RNA". It matches the Rfam family "Bacterial small subunit ribosomal RNA", at positions 29 to 507 of the family's 1533-position model. The record is from RNAcentral.
AUUGAACGCUGGCGGCAUGCUUUACACAUGCAAGUCGAACGGCAGCGCGGGCUUCGGCCUGGCGGCGAGUGGCGAACGGGUGAGUAAUACAUCGGAACGUGCUCAGUAGUGGGGGAUAGCUCGGCGAACGCCGGAUUAAUACCGCAUACGACCUGAGGGUGAAAGCGGGGGAUCUUCGGACCUCGCGCUAUUGGGGCGGCCGAUGGCAGAUUAGCUAGUUGGUGGGGUAAAGGCCUACCAAGGCGACGAUCUGUAGCUGGUCUGAGAGGACGACCAGCCACACUGGGACUGAGACACGGCCCAGACGCCUACGGGAGGCAGCAGUGGGGAAUUUUGGACAAUGGGCGAAAGCCUGAUCCAGCAAUGCCGCGUGUGUGAUGAAGGCCUUCGGGUUGUAAAGCACUUUUGGCGGGAACGAAAAGGACUGUGCCAAUACCACGGUUCGAUGACGGUACCCGCAGAAUAAGCACCGGCUAACUACGUG